RNAcentral lists this transfer RNA (73 nucleotides) under Haemonchus contortus (barber pole worm). RNAcentral's name for it is "tRNA, Pseudo". Lineage: Eukaryota; Metazoa; Nematoda; Chromadorea; Rhabditida; Trichostrongylidae. The record is from RNAcentral.
CUUCCUAUCCCAGGAAUCGAACCCAGUUCUCCUGCACUGUAGGCAGAUGCUUUACCAUCUGAGCCACUAGGGA